GACGAACGCUGGCGGCGUGCUUAACACAUGCAAGUCGAACGGAAAGGCCCUGCUUUUGUGGGGUGCUCGAGUGGCGAACGGGUGAGUAACACGUGAGUACCCUGCCCUUGACUUUGGGAUAACUUCAGGAAACUGGGGCUAUUACCGGAUAGGAGCUCCGGCGGCAGGGUGGGGGUUGGAAAGUUUCGGCGGUUGGGGAUGGACUCGCGGCUUAUCAGCUUGUUGGUGGGGUAGUGGCUUACCAAGGCCUUGACGGGUAGCCGGCCUGAGAGGGUGACCGGCCACAGUGGGACUGGGAUGCGGCCCAGACUCAUACGGGAGGCAGCAGUGGGGAAUAUUGCACAAUGGGCGGAAGCCUGGUGCAGCAACGCCGCGUGCGGGAUGACGGCUUUCGGGUUGUAAACCGCUUUCGCCUGUGACGAAGCGUGAGUGACGGAAAUGGGUAAAGAAGCACCGGCUAACUACGU
RNAcentral lists this ribosomal RNA (467 nucleotides) under uncultured bacterium. RNAcentral describes it as "partial 16S ribosomal RNA". It matches the Rfam family "Bacterial small subunit ribosomal RNA", at positions 28 to 506 of the family's 1533-position model. The record is from RNAcentral.